GUGCUUACUUUGGCAUCACAUAUGCUAGAACUGGAAUGGUACAUAGAUUAGCAUAGUGCCUGCCCAAGGAUGACACACACAUUUGUAAAUCAUUCAAUAUAGUU
RNAcentral lists this small nuclear RNA (104 nucleotides) under Neotoma lepida (desert woodrat). The record is from RNAcentral. Lineage: Eukaryota; Metazoa; Chordata; Mammalia; Rodentia; Cricetidae.